AGUGAACGCUGGCGGUAGGCCUAACACAUGCAAGUCGAACGGCCGCACAGUAAGAGCUUGCUCUUACGGGUGGCGAGUGGCGGACGGGUGAGGCAUACAUCGGCAUCUACUUUUUCGUGGGGGAUAACGUAGGGAAACAUACGCUAAUACCGCAUACGACCUACGGGUGAAAGCAGAGGAUCUUCGGACCUUGCGCGAUUGAAUGAGCCGAUGUCGGAUUAGCUAGUUGGCGGGGUAAAGGACCACCAAGGCGACGAUCCGUAGCUGGUCCGAGAGGAUGAUCAGCCACCCUGGACCGAGGACACGGGCCAACCUCCGACGGGAGGCAGAGGUGGGAAAUAUUCGACAAGGGGCACAAGCCUAAGGCGGCCAGACCGCGUAGGUAUGAAGGGCCUUCGAGUUGUAAACCCUUUUUGUUGGGAAAGAAAAACGGCAGGUUAACACCCCACAUUUUUGCGGGACCCCAAAAGAAAGGCACGGGUAACUUCGUG
This 491-nucleotide ribosomal RNA is filed under the name uncultured bacterium. RNAcentral's name for it is "partial 16S ribosomal RNA". It matches the Rfam family "Bacterial small subunit ribosomal RNA", at positions 29 to 507 of the family's 1533-position model. The record is from RNAcentral.